UGGGAAGCAGGAAAUGAAUGAUCAGAGAGUUGAAGUGUUUAGUUCAAGGGUGAACCAUCCUAUCACAAGAGGCCCUUGAACACUGGCACAGGGUACUUUUACUCUUGAGCUUGUUUUUUAGGAAGCUAACAGCAACAAACAUAAACUCCACAAGAUUGAGAAUAAGCACUACUCACCAGCAAAGUUGCUUCAGAUGCCUAGAAGCCUUACCUCAAGGGGUCUCUGGACAAUCCCUAACUAUAAGAUCAAAACGUGACAUCUUGGAGCAACUUCCCCUCAGCCCACAUGAGUGAAGAUGGUUCUCUUCCUUGGAGAUUUCAGUUGCAGAUCACCACUUGGUUGUGAGUUCCUCCUUCCUGAGAUACAAAGACACAAGAGAAGCUAUGUAACAAGGUAAAGGAUAAUUACCAAGCAAAUGCCUGCACCAUCAGGAUAAGGUCCACCAUCACCCAGAAUGUCUCUCAAAGAUUAGGGAAAUGGGAGGAGAAAGGUGCUGCUCCACUGUAAGAUCACAGCUCAUCCCAUUAACAGUUGCCUUCAGACAUCUCAGCCAUUGUAUAGCUCUAGCAGGCCUAUGAGGUCUAUUCCAGGCAUUAAAUAUGCCUAACAGGACUUCUGGUGGCCACAGAUCAGGCUUGUGUCUUAUAGCACGUUGAUAUUCAUGGGAGUUUAAAAAUCCAUGAGGCCAUUGGGACUAUUGAAGUUCCAUUGAGAUAAUUGGAGCCUUUCUAACAGAACAUGCUUACCUUGUGAUCUGCGUUGAAUCUUACUCCCCUCCCAGGGCAACAGGGCCAUAUGAUGGUGGUGGAUGCCCUCCCCAUGGUGGCAUGAUUCAUGCCUUUCUCCAGGUUUUCAACUACCCCAGCUACUGUUGCCUUGUUAAGCAGGGACUUCAAUUUUGUCUCUUAAGUUCGUAGGUUUGAUAGUUUUCAAAGUUCUUUCAGUCCACAUUAGACUACCUAUCACCCACUACCUACAAACCAGAGGAUAGACUGAGUCAAACAGCAAGAUAAUAGAAGGGUAUCUCCUGGUCUAGGCAUCACAGCCACCAUGGGGACUCCAUCUAGCUCCCCACCACCAAGCUAAUCUCUAAGAACUCCUUGUCCCUCUCCACCCAGAGCAUGCCUUGGCCUUCUAAUUAUAGGCUUCACCCUCUACUUCCUAAAACCACAGAGUACCACCAUAGUCACAGACCACCCAGGGAAACCUAACAAACUCUGUGUGAUUCAACAGGAAAUGAUACCAGGCUUAUGGCAAUAGGCAUCAAACACUAGUCAAAGCUGGGCUUGUGAGAGUCAGCCGUUUCAUUCAAAAGACUAAAAGGAUAUUCCUUUAUAGCGCUGGAUCGGAUAUGACUUUUGUGAAGCAUCUAUUGUGCAAUUCCUUCAUCUGAGCAUAACCUCUGACAGUAGGCUAUGCCUACUAUACAUUUGGAGAUGAUCAUUUUAAUGAUGUAUCAGGAGUCAGAUUGUGGUAGUCCAAGAUAGGAGCCAAAGCAAAUCUUCUCUAACCCCCUAGCAGGUUUACACUUUUGUGGAAUCCCCCCAGAGACCCCAACAAAGAAUGGCAGUUUGGCUGGAGAAAAGUAUCUAUAAAUUUGUGAAUGUGCCCUAUAACCAUGGAUAUCCUCCAUGAUCCACAGAUCUGGCAUUCUAGAAAUUAGAACAAUAUGAAUGGCAUUUUCUUACUCCCCAUCCUGAAGGUCUUUCUCUCUAGAUUGGUCUAGAAACGGUGGUCUGAGGACCACAUGGACCUCUCAAAGUUGGAAUUUAUCAAUCCACAGUCCUCCUACAUGCAAAAUAAUAGCUCAGAAUACUAAGGAGGCAUGUCUGGGAGUGUGUUAAGAUGUCAUGGAGGUGGUCCAUCACACUUGGUCUAAGAGGAUACGGGAGAUACAUUCUGCCUUGUGAUUGGAGUGUUUAAUCCAUUCACACUUAAUGUUAUAAUUAACAUGGUAGAAUUCACAUCUGUUGUUUUGCUAUUUGUUUU
Molecule: long non-coding RNA, 1989 nt
Filed under: Homo sapiens (human)
Lineage: Eukaryota; Metazoa; Chordata; Mammalia; Primates; Hominidae
Description: HSALNT0283356
Source: RNAcentral